GUGGACCUUCCUGGGUGGGAACCAAUCUGGCAACACACAACACGGCCAUGGUAGAGGUUAUUAGGACGCUACUUUGUUCUGUCUCUCACAGGCCAGUUUGUUGAUGCUGAUGCGGUCUGAUGUUGGUUGUGGUUGUGUGAGUGCCUGUGGAACUCAAAUGUGUUUGUUGGCGCUCUGUAUUUCGUUGCUGGUUGGCAAACCUGGACCCAGGAGUGUUAUGUGAUGGGUGGGGAUUCGUGGGUGUGGUAGAGGUCGACAGAGAAAGAGGUAGCGAGGGAGAAUAAGGCCUCUCACCCAAGCCUCCUGCAGCAGGUGCUGGAGAUGCGGUUGUGUUGACUCCCGGUGUUGAUGGAAGCCUUCACCUCAGUGUCACAGCACUGUGGAAACACAGCAGAACAACUACAGUGUUAACUGACAGUGUACGUGUAUAGUCAACACACUUAUACUCCCACAAAGGAGAGAACAUCAGACAGGAACACGUAUAUUUGUCCUGCGGCUUUAGUGGAAUAGAUCUGUUUGAUUACAAAAGGCUUUUCAUCAAAUGGGUCCCAACAGCUCUGCUACGCCUGCCAAGUGCCUGCCUGUAAAACUGCCAAACGACGAUAUAAAGUCUGAAUUAAAGGCUUACCGACUCUAGAGUUCUGGUCAAAUUUGUGCUAGUAGUCCAUUAUUAAGCCACAUUUCCCAACCAAUUACAAGUAGUGUUUAAGACUAGGUGUUUUCUAGGUUUGGCAUAGUUGUUUAUAUGCAAUCACAUUCGUAUUGAUCCUCUGUCUGAGUCAGAGACUAUUAGACCAUGAAGCCUGUGCUGAUGAUGCAGGACUAUUCUGCCUCGUGGUUAGAGAUAAUACCAAACCAACCAUGACUAUUUUAGAAAAAAACACCUGUGAAAUCAUUAGUCUCACUCCAGUGGAUGUGUUGACUAUUAGUUCAACCAUUAGAGCCAGUGACCGUGCUUGUUUUCUGAAACAGAUGAUGAUCCCAUGUUAUCUGAGGCCUCUCCAUGCUUUUAUAAUCCUGAAUGCAUUACUAGACAGUGAAAUAUUAGCCCAAUCAGCAGAGCCUGCGGAAUGUUCUUCAACUAAUCAGCGAACCGGUCAGUUCCUGAUUUGUAAAUAGUGUUCGUUCGAAACCAUUAUGCUCAAGGGCAACAUCUUCUGUACAAGAGCAACAUGAUGUUGUCUUCUGAGCCAGAACCAUAGAACAGUAAACAACGCUUCUGAAGUGAGGAUCAGCAGUGCUGUCUUCUCCUGGGUACCUAAAGCAUCCUAUCUGUCUCACUUCCUGUCAUCCAGCCUCUGUGUGUGUGUGUGUGUGUGUGUGUGUGUGUGUGUGUGUGUGUGUGUGUGUGUGUGUGUGUGUGUGUGUGUGUGUGUUUUCACCCACCCAGCAGAGCUGCUAACAGCCAGGGUGGUGGUCCUUUAUCCUCCUCCACAUCUCCCAGUGGUUCCGCCGUAGGGCACUUCAUGUCACAAUGCAGUGAUUCACGGUAAAGGGGAAGCAGACAUUGCGGCAGAUUAUAAUGACUGCAGCGGCCUGGCGGCAGGUAGCCUAGUGGUUAAGAGCAAUGGGCCAGUAACAGAAAGAGAGCUGGUUCGAAUCCCCGAGCCGACUAGGUGACAAAUCUGACGAUGUGUCCUUGAGCAAGGUACUUAAACCUAAUUGCUCCUGUAAGUUGCUCAGGUUAAGAGUGUCUGCUAAAGGACUAAAAUAUACAUGUAAAAUGUUCUAUAAUGAAGUUUCUGUUGUAAAUCUCAAGGCUCUUAUUCGAAUAUGGCAUAUCACACUGCUUCGAGUGGAAGGGAGAACACGCAAUGUUGGUGAAAACAUGCAACUAUGGAGGGAGGAUUUAAAACACACUUCACAGCGUAUGGUGGAUCCGCACGAGUGAGAACGGAACAAGAUGUCACACCCGCCCCCUCUCGAUGGAGAGGGAAAGACACCGAGUGGACACAUAAUGAUAUGCUUCCCUGAACACGAGCUAACACAACCCAGUCUACCUCAUCUCAAGCCUUCUCUAACAUCCACCGUGUUUUGAAUGAAUGGUUCGAUAGGGGGUGGAUGGAAGGAUGAAUAAAGGUUGGAUGGGUGGAUAAAAGUUGGAUGGGUGGAUAAAUGAAUCAUAGAUGUAUGGAUGGAUAAUACAUAGAUGUAUGGAUGUAUGUGUAUCACACAUACAUCGACUUGGCUCUAGGGCAUUUUUACCCCCUAGAUUAAAGCCCACUAGGACAUCAAAUCCCGUUGCUGUGGCUGGGUGUAAAAAUGUAGUCCCCAACACACAAUUGGUUUUAGUUGAGCUUCCCCCUCUUAAUCCCUGCAGGCUUCUCACGGCCAGGCUUCUCAGAAGGCCUGCAAACGUGUGCUUUUGUCUCUGCCUGAGUGGUGAAAAAGUCCUCCCUUUCUGUGAAGUUUCAAAAUGGCUCCGGAAUUAAUGGGUAACUAUGGAGCUUUUAGCCGCUUAAAAAAACAGAACUAAACAAACCAGAUCAAAGAUAAGCUGAUCCGCAUGGAAUGUUCCCUGGCGAACCACUCGCUUCAAACACACACACAGUAGCUGUGUUCCAAUACUCAUACUAACUGCACUAACCGUACUAUUUGGGAUGUAAAUUGAGUAUAAAGUAUGCUUAUUGGUCAUAGUAUGGAUAUAGUUAGUAUGCCAAAAGUUCCCGGAUGUCGUACUAGAUUCGCCAAAAUACGAAUUAUAAACUGGGUGGUUUGAGCCCUGAAUUCUGAUUGGCUGAAAGCCAUGGUACAUCAGACUGUAUACCACAGGUAUGACAAAACAUUUAAUUACAUUGGUAACCAGUUUAUAAUAGCAAUAAGGCCCCUCUGGGGUUUGUGAUAUAUGGCCAAUAUACCACGGCUAAGGGCUGUGUCCAGGCACUCCGCAUUGUGUCGUGCGUAAGAACAGCCCUAAGCAGUGGCAUAUUGGCCAUAUAUCACACCCCCUCGGGCCUUAUUGCUUAAGUAUUCACCUUAUUUAUGAACCCGGAAAGAAAACAAUGUCCAAACGUUCUGUUUUGUGGAGGACUUCCGUUGUGUCGUUCUUGCAGUUUUGCGAACGUUAGCUAGCUAGCUCAAAAUGUCGUGGGAUCAUACCAAAAAAAACUUUCAAAGUCAAAUGGCAAGUCUGUGCCACAUCCGCAGAUUAUUCACGAGUGGGAAGACGAUAUGAAAAAAUGGCCGAAUAUCACCUCCGAAGACAUCUUUUUCUUAUUUUGUCUCGUCUCUCGGUGUGGGUGGGUCAGAGGUGAGGAGCUACAAAAGCGCAGAGGCAUAUCAAUACCUCCACAGCGGCAGAGUUGGGCGGGUGCUUAUUCACUGUCUUGAGGAUGACAACCUGGUGUUCCUCAAAGCAGAUGUCCAGCCUAGCCAGAACAAAACACACCAUCAUUCUGCCUGGAUUCUUAUAUCAUCUGUCGGAACGGUGGAGAGUGCAGGGUGUUGUUGUGUUGCAGGGCAGGGCAGGGGAAGUAUUGCGGUCAUGCAGCUGUAAUACUAUGGAAGGUGCAGAAUGCUGUGUAUGGAGGAUUGACAGGGGUGUCCUGUACAGAUGAGCAAUGCCAGUGGCACUCUGGGACGCAGCGGAAUUUAGCUCCAAAAAGGUUGAGCGAGAUCUGUUUCAAACGUCACAAACCAAGUGACGAGUUCUCUGACAGCACCCCAGCCGCUUCUCCAUCUCUACCUCCAACUCCUGCGUACCACUCCCAAACUUUUAUUAAGUGCAUUGUGGAAGGGGUCAAUGUUCCAGUGGGGUGCCUUGUGCAUCAAAGCUAAACUAUACAGUCAUCAGGUUCCAGCAGCAGCCACACAGCUACAGCAGCCUUAUGGUGAACACGGCAUUAACAUGCAGUGUCAGAAAUGCUUUUCAUUUUAUGACGUUUAUGUUAAGCUGUUGGAGUGUAAAUGUGCCAGUUUGGAGGAGGUCACUAAAGCACAGAGUGUCUCCCAUGUGUGCUGUGACCCGCGUAAACUUCGGAUCACUGCUAGCUCAGAAAAUAAGGUUUGUGUGCGCACCCCAACAAAUGCCGACAACUUUGUGCGGGAGCAUCUCUUCCCCCAGGUUCCGCAACCACAUAUGGCAAGGAGAACGAGCAGGUGGCCUACACAUGGAUGGAGAGCUGUGGGUUUAGUCUGGAGAGUAGAGGCACAGUAGUGAGUGUCAAGGAGCCAUGUCUUUCUGCAAGCCCAGAUGGAGUGUUAAACUCUCAAGAACUAUUAGAAAUCAAAUGUCCUCUUCUGAUUAAGUAGUGUGAGUCUCUGACUGAACUGUUCUCUGGCAAACUCACCGAUGUGAAGCUGGUGCAUGGGGUUCCUCAGCUGUAUCCUAAUGGAGCCCGUGGGUACUACAUGCAGGUGCAAAUGGUAAUGUUCUGCACAGGACUGGAGAGAUGUGUUAGCAGUCGAUGUUAUUCUUCAAUAACACAGACCCCAAAGUAAAUCAGGGAGAGAAAAAUAUAUUUAUUCAAAGAGAACAAAUCAUAGUUGUUAUGCUCGAAAGUAGAUGGCAGAUGUUUAUUCUUCCCUGUCCUCAAUGUUUCUCUGCUGAACAAAGAGACAGGAUGUAGUUUAUAACCCAACCCUAGCCUGUGGUUUACCAAUUAGAAUUCCUUGCAAUAAAACUGGGCCAAUGGCCAAAUAACAAAUAUCCUGUUUCAGGCUCAAUGUAUAGACAAUUCGGACCAAUGAAAACUUGCCACAUGGGGCUAUGAGUCCCGGAUUGAAAUUCCUCCCAUGUCCCUGACCCAUUAAUCUUCAGUUCCCCAUUACAGAAAAGCAACUAUUUCCAUUGAUAAUGAAUUCCCUCUUGACCUUUAGUCCUCUGCAUUUUGUAUUUAUCUUUGAAUAUUCAUACAUAUGCAAACUGCUUGUCUGGGCUCGAUCCGAGCAGGUUGUUAUUGAUGUGCCUUUUGAUGUGAAGUUCUGUGCUGAUUGCAUUCCUAAACUGAAGGCAUUCUAUUUCACACAUAUGCUGCCAAGGAUAGUAGAUGAGUUCCAGUCAGGCAGACUAACUCUGUGCUCCAAAUAUGUUCCUCUAUGUGGUAUCUAGGGGCCUUAUACUUAAAAAAAAAUAGUACAUAUAUUUUGUGUCUUGUAAAGCUCUGUCAGCUCUACCUUAUUAUCGAAGCAUAACUCUUUAUUGGUGUUUUUUUGUCUGUCACAGUUCCCCUUCAUAUGCACAUUUACCUGAUUAUAUUUGCAUAAUUCUUUUUUUUUUAUAUCUUGCCUUGUACAGCUCUCUUCAUACAUGUUUAUCUAAUGCCUACGGAUAAUAAUUUAUGAAUGUUUUUAUUGUACCUUGCAUAGCUCUCUCUUCAUAUGGCACUUCAUGAACUUAUCUAAGCCUACCAUAAUUCAUCUUGCACUUGGCAAAUGAUGAUGUUAAUAAAAACCACUAUGAAAUUCAA
Salmo salar (Atlantic salmon) is the source of this 5408-nucleotide long non-coding RNA. RefSeq lists it as uncharacterized. Lineage: Eukaryota; Metazoa; Chordata; Actinopteri; Salmoniformes; Salmonidae. The record is from RefSeq and is a predicted model, not a curated record.